AAGCACAGCAAACCAUAGGUAGAAGAUAAAUCAAUAUACUUCAUUCAUAUGCACUAAACGCAUUGUAAAAAGGUACAAGUACUGAAAUGGAAUCAAAAAACCAGAAAUAAGAUUUGCAUAAUGGAGUGAGAUAUGAUUACGUUAGUGAUUUUUAAGAGAGUGACCAGAGCUUGUAGAUUUAGUCGUUGAGUUUUGCUUCUCUACCACCACAGCUCCGUCACGCGCGAGGUUCUUGCUCUAGUACUGCUGCCCAUGCACUCUGCAACUUAGCCUUCGACAAUCUACAUCGUCCUUGAAGUCCCGGUGCUCUUACUUCUGAUCCAACAAAACCGAAGGAUCCCUGACCCGACAAAUCUGAAGGAUUAAAAUAAAAUAAAGAGUUCAGUUGUGAACAGCGGUAUGGGCUCCAUCGCACACAACGCUGGGCGUUACUGAUUUAGCAACCGAUGACGGAAGGAGAAUACUCUUCGGAGCUCUAUACCCUGUCCAUGACAUGUCAUUUCUGAAAUCUUAAGAGGAAGUGGUACGUUCUACUAUACUAAUGUGGUAUCAUUUGACCCCGGUGCUGUGAGACAUUAUGCUUGCACAAAACAUCAUUUUUUUCCCGUUUCAACGCACGGGCAUAUGUGCUAGUCAUAAUCAAACCAGCAACAUAGGGUCACCAAAUUUGAGAUUCUUUUUUCAACCGCAUAAAGCAAACAUCAAUAACUGAAUUCCAUUUAAGUAUUGCACAUUGCAGGAUAAAAAGAAAAAGUAAACGGGUAUUACACAUUAUAAACUCACCUUCUUUGUAUCUGUUGGCGGGUUGCUUGACCAAAUUUAGUAAUAUGCAUGCCAACAUGUUAAAAACGUUGAGCACCAAUAAAGCACAGCAAACCAUAGGUAGAAGAUAAAUCAAUAUACUUCAUUCAUAUGCACUAAACGCAUUGUAAAAAGGUACAAGUACUGAAAUGGAAUCAAAAAACCAGAAAUAAGAUUUGCAUAAUGGAGUGAGAUAUGAUUACGUUAGUGAUUUUUAAGAGAGUGACCAGAGCUUGUAGAGUUAGUCGUUGAGUUUUGCUUCUCUACCAC
Molecule: long non-coding RNA, 1071 nt
Filed under: Triticum aestivum (bread wheat)
Lineage: Eukaryota; Viridiplantae; Streptophyta; Magnoliopsida; Poales; Poaceae
Description: long non-coding RNA (TAES_LNC014112)
Source: RNAcentral